Molecule: ribosomal RNA, 549 nt
Filed under: uncultured Glomus
Lineage: Eukaryota; Fungi; Glomeromycota; Glomeromycetes; Glomerales; Glomeraceae
Description: SSU rRNA
Rfam family: Eukaryotic small subunit ribosomal RNA
Source: RNAcentral
UUGGAGGGCAAGUCUGGUGCCAGCAGCCGCGGUAAUUCCAGCUCCAAUAGCGUAUAUUAAAGUUGUUGCAGUUAGAAAGCUCGUAGUUGAAUUUCGGGAUCAGCAGGUUGGUCGUACCAAUGGUAUGAACUGGCCUUGCUGAUUCCUCCCUCUUGAUGAGCCGUAAUGCCAUUAAUUUGGUGUUGCGGGGAAUCAGGACUGUUACUUUGAAAAAAUUAGAAUGUUUAAAACAGGCAAGCGCUUGAAUACAUUAGCAUGGAAUAAUGAAAUAGGACGUUUGAUCCUAUUUUGUUGGUUUCUAGGAUUGACGUAAUGAUUAAUAGGGAUAGUUGGGAACAUUAGUAUUCAAUUGUCAGAGGUGAAAUUCUUGAAUUUAUUGAAGACUGACUACUGCGAAAACAUUUGCCAAAAAUAUUUUCAUUAAUCAAGAACGAAAGUUAGGGGAUCGAAGACGAUCAGAUACCGUCGUAGUCUUAACCAUAAACUAUGCCGACUAGGGAUCGGAUGAUGUUAAUUUUUUAAUGACUCAUUCGGCGCCUUACGGGAAAC